Antechinus flavipes (yellow-footed antechinus) is the source of this 5220-nucleotide long non-coding RNA. RefSeq lists it as uncharacterized. The transcript has 2 exons. The record is from RefSeq and is a predicted model, not a curated record. Lineage: Eukaryota; Metazoa; Chordata; Mammalia; Dasyuromorphia; Dasyuridae.
AGAGAGAGAGAGAGAGAAAGAGAGAGAGAGACAUUGACAGAGGCAAAUAGACACACAGAAAAGAGACACACAGAGACAGAGAGGUGACCUUGGCAGGAGAGAAAAAAAGAGAGAGAAAGAGAGAGACAGACACAGAAGGAGAGAGACAGAGAGAGACAGAGAAAGAGAGAAAGAGACGGAGACAGAAAUGCAGAGAGAGAGAGCGACACGGAGACACAGACAGACAGACACACACGCACACACAGAAAAAGACAGAGAGACAGAUACACAGAAAGGGGAGGGGAGGGGGGGACUGGAAGAAGAGGGAAAGCAGAUAGUCUAAGGAAGGUGAGAGGAAAGCUAAGGAAAAGAGAGGAGAGAAAGAAGAGACCUAAACCUUGCUGGGAUAGAGUCAAGAUCUCCCAUUCCUUUCACUCCCAGUUCCUCCCACUAUCCCGGAGGAGGUUUGGAGAUAAGUGAAGGGACCAGAAUGGGAUUCUGGGGGUGGAGAGAGACAGAACUAGUUUCUGUGUCCAACCUGGAGGAAGAACCCAAGGUCUAUGGAAUUCUCCAAAUGAAGUCUACUCCUCCCCUCUCCGUUCCCAUUCCUUUUACCACAUCUCCCUACACAAACUUUGAGGAGGGGGAGGAGAGCCUGGGGUUUGGAGGACAGAGGUCAAGAAGGUGACUCAUAAAGGGAAAAGCUCUGUGUAAGUAGACCCUGGAACCCCUCCUUCUACUCCCCCAUCCCCCUGCUCCGGGCAGCUGAGGGGACUGGGCUGCAAAUAGCCAGGGGAAUGAAUGAGUCAGUGAGGCUGGAAAUAACCCCUCCCUCGCCUACCCAGACAAUGGGGGAGGGAAAGAGACAGUGCCCCCAGCUGCCUGGGGCCUGAGGCUGAAACUUGUGCCGGGCUCCCUGUGCCCCUGGAGUCCCUGGAGUCAGGGAGGAGCUGGACCACUGGGCUAGGAGGCAGCUGGGCAGAGCAGGGAGCCUUGGCUUGUACCUGAUGGCUGCUACUACUUCUUCUCCCGCCUGCACAACUCGCCAGAUCAAUCAAAUGUUUAUCCAACCUCCAGAGGUGGGAGGUCACUCUUCUUGGGCCACCUAGCCAGACCAGGGGCCCUGCCCAGGAGAGCUAAUGGGAAGACGGAAGUUUCAGCGCCCUCCUCCCCCUCCCCUCUUCCCCCCGGCACCUGCCCUGUAGAAGUAGAGAGACUCAUAGCCCGGCACUUUCCUCACCUUCCAUUCAGCAGUGAGACUCUAAACCACAAUCUUCUUCCCCACCUACCGUUCUUCCGAUGGGAUGGCUAAACCAUACUCCUUCUAAUAAAGGACCUGCUAGCCCUGGGUCCUGAGGGUCCCACGAGAGCCAGGCAUCCUAGCUUUCCAGUCCUGGUCCCCAUCCAGGGGCAAGAGGGUCAUGGGGUUUAUUAGCAGCUCCUGGAGGAUCUAUCUUAGUGGAUGUAAACUGACACUUCGAGGACUUAUGAUUUCAUCUGGUGUGAGAAUUCUCCCAUUUAGAGGGUUGCCUUAGGUCCAGAGGGGUUAAACUGACUCACUCUUGCUCACAUAGUUGGUAAGAGUCACAGACUAUUUAAAUUCAAAGUUUAGUGGAGUUUAUGGAUCAUUUUCUCCUUCUUCUGUUUUCAGUUUAAAAUUGUUCCAGUCAUGAAUUUUGAUUAGCACUCCCCUCCUCCACUGCCCCUGGAUCCCCAACAAUGACCCAAUCUAAUUGUUUUGAUUAGAAUUGUGAGACUCUAGGUCAGUGGUUCUCAAACUUUUGUUUUCAGUAUCUUUAUUCUAUUAAAAAUAUUGAGGAUCUCUCUAAAGCAUUUUUGUUUAUCUGGGUUAUAUUUAUAGACAUUUACCAUAUUGGAAAUAAAAACUAUUUUUGAAUUUGUAGACCCUCUAUAGGGGUAUCAGAGAUCCCCAGGAUUCUCUAGACCAUACUUUGAGAACCACUGCUCUAGGCCAAUAGAGUCUUACUAUAAUCUUGAUUGGGCAGACUCCAUAUCUGGUGAGAAAUCUGCCUUUCCUAUAUUUUAUACCUUUGUCCAAAUAUCCAAAUUUCCUCCUUUACUUCCUCUUGAACUGUUCACUUCUUAAAUCUGACUUUCUCUUGUUUUUAGGGAGCAGCAAAAAUGAAAAUAGAAACUUUGUAUAGCUAUAGAAUACUAUGAAGCACCCUUCACUAUUUCCGAUGGUGUCUACGGCUCAACAUUCUUUGUAGCAACUGGCUUCCACAGCUUACACAUAAUCAUCAGCUCACUAUUCCUAAUUGUAAGGUUUUCAAUUUCUUGCCUGAAAUUUAUCAAUUUUAUCAAUACUGAGGCUUCCGUUGUGAUCAUCUCCUCCUACUUUAAAGUUUUGCUCUUCCCAUGGACAGGAAAAAAACUGGGAUCAAGGAGUCCUAGAUUAAUGUGAACUGGGAAUUCUAAGUUACCAAAAGAAAAAAAAAGGUGAAAUGAUAGGAGGGAAGAUCAGGAAAGACAAUGUUAAGUUAUAUGUCUGUUGUUCAGCUAUUUCAGUCUUGUCUGACUCUUCAUGAAUAUGAAUGUGAAUGGGAUGAACUCUCCCAUAAAAUGAAAGUGAAUAGCAGAGUAUAUUAAAAACUAGAAUUCUACAAAAUAUUGUUAACAUGAAACACACUUUAAGCACAGAGACACACAGAGAGUGAAGGAAAGGGCUAAAGUAGAAUCUAUUAUUAAAAUUAAAGUUAAAAAAAAAGUGGGGUAGCAAUUCUUAUCUCAAAGCAAACCCAGAUGGGGUUUCUUUGGGAGAGAUAUUGGAGUGGUUUGCCAUUUCCUUCUCUAACUCAUUUUUAUAGAUGAGAUACUGAAAGUGACUUGCAUGAUGUCACACAGCUGGUGUCUGAAGGUAGAUUUGAAUUCAGCUCCUCCUGACUUCAAGCUUGCUACUGAUGCAGAAGGUAUAUCUGACUCCAGUUUAUGAAUUCAAACUUAUCUCACAUUAUACCCUUUAACCAACUCCAUCUGCCCCAGUUUAUUCUUCUCUCAAGUUUUUUCCCCCUCUGGAAUCUUAAAUGUCUUUUCUCAUAUUAUUCUCCGUUCCUCAAACUGGAAGAAAUUCCCAUCCGGGACCUGCACCACAUCCAGCUGUUAGAAUCUUUCCCUUCCUUCAAGCGUUCCCUCACUUGCCACCACUCCUAUGAUCUUCAGUGUGCGAUCUAUGAAUUCACUCACCUCUUGGAAGCUGCAUUGUGGGCUUGCCCUUUCUCACCUCAAUGCUCUUAUAAGAAAAGCAAACCUAUUAAAAGUUUAAGAUUCUGCUAUUUCUAUAAAUCUGGUCUCAGAGAACAGCUGUGGCCCCUAAGAUCAAGUGGGACUCUCCAAACUUAGCCAGGCUGAUUCUCAGAUGGCUAUUUAGCCCAUGGAUAAAGCCAAAGACCUGGCUCCUGGAAGACUGAGUUCAAAUUCAGCCUCAGACACUGACCGGCUGUGGUGUUCUGGACAAGGCACUCUCGCUUCUAUUGGUCUCAGUUAUUUUUAUCUGCAAAAUGGGAAUAUUAAUAGUACCUACUGUUGUGAAAUAACAUUUAUAGAGUGAUUUGUAAAUCCUGAAUGCUAUAUAAAUUCUACUUUUUAGACAGGGAGCAUUCCUGGAAGGAAGCUUCUGAGAUCUGGCACUCUGUUGGUACCACAAGUAGGUAGCGGAAGAAGAACUCAAAGGAGGCAAACUUCAAAGUACUCCAGAAAUAGAAGAAGUUUGUGUUUGUGUGCACAUGGUAUUUGUUUUUUAAGCUGAAAAAAUGACUGCGUGUGACUGGUAAAUGAUUGUAAUAGGAUUGUUGUGAAUGUUGUAGACACAAACUCCAGAUUCACAGACCUCUAGAUGAGAGAGAGGACAACUUGAGGUGCUCUAACCAGUGAGACCCUAAGCAAAGGGGCAAGUGUUUCUCUCUGGGCCCCUAUAUAUUGUAGACAAAUAGAUGAAAGGCAGCAUGAUGUCAUGGGGAGAGAAUUAGCCUCAGAGUGUCUCUUGAAGUCUUGCCUCUGACUAUCAGGGCCGUGUGAUUCCCUUGACCUCUUAGGGCCCUAGGCAGCCCUGAGAUUAGAUUACAGAGGCAUCUGUGUUGGGAAAAGGAUUCUCCUGCUCCAGAAAUUCCAUAUACCAAUGAAAUUACAGGUCUAAUACCCUCCCCCUACAUUUUAUAAAGAGCUCAGUGUCUAUCUAUUGGUUCCCAUGAUAGAACGUAUGCACCUCGAGGGUGGGGAUUCUUUUUUUUUUUUUUUUGCCUUUGUAUUAUGUCUGGCUUUUAAUCAAGGUUUCUUCAUUGAUUGAUUAAUUGAUUUAGGAAGAAAGUUGGAUGUUUUGGAGCAGGGCAAAGCACACUGGAAACCUCAAUUUGGGGAAAGCAGAGAUUCAUCUGGCACAUAGUAGGUGCUUAAUAAAUACUUAUUGACCAACUGUGAACAGGAUGGAGCCGUCAGGCCCUGGACAUCGCCAUGGUGCAGAGAAGGAAAACCUUGGUUGAAGAUGAUGCCCCGAACAGUGAGUGGAGAAGCAAAUGAAAAAAUGUUGUUCACCAAGGACCCCUCUGCCCCAACACAUGAAGCAUCAGAAGAGGCAAUAUGGAGGCUGGGAAUGCAGAGCUACUCCUGGAGAUGGGAACAAAGUCAGCCCCCAGCAUUGGACUCUGGUGGGUCAUAGAAUCAUAGAUCCAGGACUGGGCAGAGCUUUGGAGGUAACUUCAUCCACACCUCUUAUUUGGCAAUGGAAGGAGCUGACCGCCAAAGGUGUUAAAUGAAUUAUCCAAAAUCACUCAACUAGUAAGGUGCAGAGGCAGAAUUUGCAUUCAGGUCUCCAGACUCCAAAUCCAGCCCUAAUUUUUUUUUUCAGUCCCACUUCUAUUGUAUUAUGCUACACAAUUCUCUGAGUCUUAAUUUUCUCAUCUGUAAAAUGGGGGUAACCACCGUGGUUAAAGCAUUAGAUCAAGAAGACCUGAGUUGAAAUUCAAUCUCAGAUACUGUGUGACCCUAGGAAAGUCACCUUAUUUCUGCCUCACUUUUCUCAUCUAUAAAACAGGGAUAAUAACAGAACUUCCCUCCCGGGAUUGUUGUGAGGGUAAAUAUGUUUAUAAUAAUAAAGUGCUUAGUACAGUGUCAGGCACAUAGUAGGCACUGUUUAAAUGUUUAUUCCCUUUCCUCUAGCGGCUCUCUCACAGGACUAUUGUUGAGUCUGAAAUGGAAUAACCUAAAUAAAGCUGGUUUUGACUAUUA